RNAcentral lists this ribosomal RNA (492 nucleotides) under uncultured bacterium. RNAcentral's name for it is "partial 16S ribosomal RNA". It matches the Rfam family "Bacterial small subunit ribosomal RNA", at positions 29 to 507 of the family's 1533-position model. The record is from RNAcentral.
AGUGAACGCUGGCGGUAGGCCUAACACAUGCAAGUCGAACGGCAGCACAGUAAGAGCUUGCUCUUACGGGUGGCGAGUGGCGGACGGGUGAGGAAUACAUCGGAAUCUACUUUUUCGUGGGGGAUAACGUAGGGAAACUUACGCUAAUACCGCAUACGACCUACGGGUGAAAGCAGGGGAUCUUCGGACCUUGCGCGAUUGAAUGAGCCGAUGUCGGAUUAGCUAGUUGGCGGGGUAAGGGCCCACCAAGGCGACGAUCCGUAGCUGGUCUGAGAGGAUGAUCAGCCCCACUGGAACUGAGACACGGUCCAGACUCCUACGGGAGGCAGCAGUGGGGAAUAUUGGACAAUGGGCGCAAGCCUGAUCCAGCCAUACCGCGUGGGUGAAGAAGGCCUUCGGGUUGUAAAGCCCUUUUGUUGGGAAAGAAAAGCAGCAGGUUAAUACCCCGCUGUUCUGACGGUACCCAAAGAAUAAGCACCGGCUAACUUCGUG